AAAGUCUUGCAUCUAGUGCUGCUGGUGCCUUUACCUGUGGUGAGGAGCGGCGCUGUCUGUGUGAUGCCAUGGCCACAGCCAAAGUUAAGGUUCUAACUUACCCACCUGCAGGGAUUCUGCUGAGCUGAGUAAGUUAGUAGAGCUGUGUUCAUCGCUCACGCGUAUGACCUCACGCUCUGAUAUAACUCUGUCUUCUCUUCUUCACUGACCCAGUCUGUCACGUUACAUGCUUGUUGAUGAUGCGUGCUGGUCUCGCUGCUGCGGCGUCCACCGUGGUGUCAGUUAUUUCUAUUCUACACAACCACAGAGAGAGGAGACGCGUGUCGCGUAGCUCACGACCCUAGUCUUUGUAAAUCCACAUCUUUCGUUUUGGAAACAUUUACUGCCCUGAAGAUAUUUCUGAUUGUUAGUUAUUCGUUUUGUUUGUUUGUUUGUUUAUCUUUUGGCAAAGCAGUGUUCAAUCUUGUGCAAGGGUCCACCAUGGAUGGUUGUGAUUUCAUAGUUUGAAUUUGAGUUGUUGAUUUCUUUGGUGCUGAAUUGCAAACUUGACUACUAUUUGUCAGUUUUGGUGGUUGAUAAUCAUUUUGGGCCUUCAAAUUUUUCACCUAAGUAGACACAGAUUGUAAAACCUGCAUAGUUUUCAAGUAAUAUGUUUAUACUUUUUAGACAUGCCCUGUAUACAAAAAUUCAUAGUUUUUCUAAUUGUUUAUAUUUAUGUUUAUGCUUUUCUUUUUCUUUUUCUUUUUUCCCCUCUCUAAUCGCCUUAAAUACAGUUUUAAAGAAUUAAUCAUUUUUAGAAUACUGUGAAGUAAGUGUGUUACAUCAAGGCAUCAAUUACCAAGAACCCAUGUAACUAAUUUUAGAUACAAACACAUUUCAGAUUGAGUUCCAA
RNAcentral lists this long non-coding RNA (892 nucleotides) under Physcomitrium patens. RNAcentral's name for it is "long non-coding RNA (PPAT_LNC014297)". The record is from RNAcentral. Lineage: Eukaryota; Viridiplantae; Streptophyta; Bryopsida; Funariales; Funariaceae.